Lycium ferocissimum is the source of this 697-nucleotide long non-coding RNA. RefSeq lists it as uncharacterized. The record is from RefSeq and is a predicted model, not a curated record. Lineage: Eukaryota; Viridiplantae; Streptophyta; Magnoliopsida; Solanales; Solanaceae. The transcript has 2 exons.
AAUCGGAACAACUUCAGAAAAAAUCUCGGACCAGAUUUUUAGCCCAUAUUGUUGGAGGCAUACCUCCUAGUAUAUGAGGAGUUUUAAGGUGUUUCAAAAGCCUAAAAUGAAGUUCAUCGAGUCUAGUUUUCAACGCAACAAACCGCUCGUCAAAAUGAUAUCGGAAUAAGGAGAUAUGGACGAUGCAAGUUGGGCUGGCGGGGCAGAAACUGGAGACCCGAUCCAAACACUCAUAUUUCGGCCCAUGAGGCCCAUUAAACUUAAUAUAUAAGUCACCACUUCUCCCUAUAUCACCUAACACGACCAAAAACAGAUCCAAGGACCCUUAUUUUCUCUCCUAAACCCCUUUCUAAUUGAGCCAUCAUAUAAGCUAAAUCCUAGACCCUUGACAUGAUAUUAGUUAAAGAGAAGUUGUAGCCUAAGUUUUCUUUGUGUUGUUAAGCAAGCAGCUGGAAAGAGGAACAAUAUUCUUGAAGAUUCUGAUUGUUAAAGGAAACGUUGAUAUGCAAGCUAGAGAGAGAAAGCAUAAGCCAUGGCAUUCGGCCAUGGCUAGAAAAAUUGGAGCUCAAAUUUGUUGAUCUAAAAAUCAGAUUUUCUAGUUAUUUCAUCCCUUAUGAAGGUGAUAAUAACAUGGAGAAGUCAUUUGGAGCAACAAGAACAAGUAUUAGUUCAUUUCACAAAUUCUAGCUAAGUGGAA